Molecule: ribosomal RNA, 468 nt
Filed under: uncultured bacterium
Lineage: Bacteria
Description: partial 16S ribosomal RNA
Rfam family: Bacterial small subunit ribosomal RNA
Source: RNAcentral
GAUGAACGCUGGCGGCGUGCCUAACACAUGCAAGUCGAGCGAUUCUCUUCGGAGAAGUGCGGCGGACGGGUGAGUAACGCGUGGGUAACCUGCCCUGUACACACGGAUAACAUACCGAAAGGUACGCUAAUACGAGAUAAUAUACUUUUAUCGCAUGGUAGAAGUAUCAAAGCUUUUGCGGUACAGGAUGGACCCGCGUCUGAUUAGCUAGUUGGUAAGGUAAUGGCUUACCAAGGCGACGAUCAGUAGCCGACCUGAGAGGGUGAUCGGCCACAUUGGAACUGAGACACGGUCCAAACUCCUACGGGAGGCAGCAGUGGGGAAUAUUGCACAAUGGGCGAAAGCCUGAUGCAGCAACGCCGCGUGAGCGAUGAAGGCCUUCGGGUCGUAAAGCUCUGUCCUCAAGGAAGAUAAUGACGGUACUUGAGGAGGAAGCCCCGGCUAACUACGUGCCAGCAGCCGCGGUAA